UACGGGGGGGGCGAGCGUUGUUCGGAAUUACUGGGCGUAAAGGGUUUGUAGGUGGCCUGCUAAGUCAGACGUGAAAUCCCUCAGCUUAACUGGCGAACUGCGUCUGAUACUGGCGGGCUUGAGGACAGGAGAGGAACGCGGAAUUCCAGGUGUAGCGGUGAAAUGCGUAGAUAUCUGGAGGAACACCGGUGGCGAAGGCGGCGUUCUGGACUGUUUCUGACACUGAAAAACGAAAUCCAGGGGAGCAAACGGG
RNAcentral lists this ribosomal RNA (253 nucleotides) under uncultured bacterium. RNAcentral's name for it is "partial 16S ribosomal RNA". It matches the Rfam family "Bacterial small subunit ribosomal RNA", at positions 524 to 776 of the family's 1533-position model. The record is from RNAcentral.